GCCAGGUGCAGUGGCGCACACCUGUAAUCCCAGCGGUUUGGGAGGCUGAGGCAGGAGGAUUGUGAGUUCAAAGCCAGCCUCAGCAAAAGUGAGGCACUAAGCUACUCAGUGAGACCCUGUCUCUA
This 125-nucleotide small RNA is filed under the name Marmota monax (woodchuck). The record is from RNAcentral. Lineage: Eukaryota; Metazoa; Chordata; Mammalia; Rodentia; Sciuridae.